Molecule: ribosomal RNA, 749 nt
Filed under: uncultured Granulicatella sp.
Lineage: Bacteria; Bacillati; Bacillota; Bacilli; Lactobacillales; Carnobacteriaceae
Description: bacterial SSU rRNA
Rfam family: Bacterial small subunit ribosomal RNA
Source: RNAcentral
UUGCACUGGUUAAUCUAGUGGCGAACGGGUGAGUAACACGUGGGUAACCUGCCCAUCAGAGGGGGAUAACAUCCGGAAACGGAUGCUAAAACCGCAUAGGUCUUCGAGCUGCAUGGCUUGAAGAGGAAAAGAGGCGCAAGCUUCUGCUGAUGGAUGGACCCGCGGUGCAUUAGCUAGUUGGUGAGGUAACGGCUCACCAAGGCCGUGAUGCAUAGCCGACCUGAGAGGGUGAUCGGCCACAUUGGGACUGAGACACGGCCCAAACUCCUACGGGAGGCAGCAGUAGGGAAUCUUCCGCAAUGGACGCAAGUCUGACGGAGCAACGCCGCGUGAGUGAAGAAGGUUUUCGGAUCGUAAAACUCUGUUGUUAGAGAAGAACAAGUGCUAGAGUAACUGUUAGCGCCUUGACGGUAUCUAACCAGAAAGCCACGGCUAACUACGUGCCAGCAUCCGCGGUAAUACGUAGGUGGCAAGCGUUGUCCGGAUUUAUUGGGCGUAAAGCGAGCGCAGGCGGUUCCUUAAGUCUGAUGUGAAAGCCCCCGGCUCAACCGGGGAGGGUCAUUGGAAACUGGGGAACUUGAGUGCAGAAGAGGAGAGUGGAAUUCCAUGUAUAGCGGUGAAAUGCGUAGAUAUAUGGAGGAACACCAGUGGCGAAGGCGACUCUCUGGUCUGUAACUGACGCUGAGGCUCGAAAGCGUGGGUAGCAAACAGGAUUAGAUACCCUGGUAGUCCACGCCGUAAACGAUGAG